RNAcentral lists this long non-coding RNA (1776 nucleotides) under Mus musculus (house mouse). RNAcentral's name for it is "predicted gene 45030". Lineage: Eukaryota; Metazoa; Chordata; Mammalia; Rodentia; Muridae. The record is from RNAcentral.
AAAAGGAUGUCACUCCAGGUGGAGAGAGGAUGACCAUGGAGGAAAGCAGUGUGGUUGGAAUACACAGGGUGUUUACCAGGAUCAGCAUGGAAUUUAUUGAACGGAGCACAGUGAGAUGCAGGGAGCAAGAGAAGAAAAGACUGGCAAGGACACUGUGAAGCGCUAAAUGAAAUACCAGACAAAACAAAGUGCUGUGCCUGCCUUUGAUCCACCUAAACUCUGGGGUCAAAGAGAAAAUAUACCACAGAGUAUCAGCAUUGUUUUUAAAAAAAAGGUCACACUAGGUUGUCUUAUCGAGGUGGCUCAGAAGGUAAAGUCGCAAGCUUGGCAAGUUGGGUUUAAUCUCCAGAGGCCGGGAGUAGGAGGAAACCAACUCCACGAAGUUGUCUCCUGACCUCUACACGCAUGCUGUCUAUGACAAAUGUGUCCUCCAGCUCUACACUCAGAAUAAAUAAAAUAUAAAUGAAAAAAGGUUGUCAUUGUUCCAGCCUGGCUUAGAACUUACCAUGCAUCAGAAGAUGGCCUUGAACUUCCAAUCCUUCUGAUUUCUGGGAUUCUACGCGUUUAUACGAAACCCCUCAUCUCCUGAUUCCAUUUGGCUAUGAAUCUCCAGAGAAUUCCAGGUCACAAUUACACUAAAGCUGGAUCAGUUCUUGCACGAGAACGCAUGAAUUCUGAGACCUUUGCUUUUGAACAACCUGCUUCCUCUACAAGGUGUGCUACAGAAGCAGUUGAUCAACUCUUGAGCAUCGCCUCGUGUUUCUGUGACCAUACGCCUCUCCUUUAAGACACUGGGAUCUAGAACUUUACUUUUGUAAAUGGCUUCCCACCAUUUUCUGUGUUUUCUUUGUGGACAGUAACUUGACUCUCUCCUUUCUGAUCCAAGUCACUGUGGCAAAGGCAGCUGCAUCACCAUGGAACAACCUAAGCAUUCAUUCUCCAACCACCUCUGAAGUUCACAGUACACAGCACUCUCCAACAACUCACGACAAUGAGGAGAAAUUGUCAGAACCUCAAUUUUUCACCAUGUUUGGUAAAGUAUUUCUUUAUGAAUUUUAUGAUUUAUGUUUAAGUUGCUCAAGUUUGGGACAAAAUACCAAGCCUUUGAUACAAGCUGUCCUCCAAGAAUAUAUCAACAAUCAAAUUGUAAACACAGACAUGUUAGAAGUGAGGGACUUUACAAGACACCAGUUAUUGUUCCCACUGCCGUAUCUAAAUACCUGGAAAGACCUGGAUCCAAGGUCGAAUGUUGCUACUUUUGAACUGGGAUGGUGUCAGAAAACAAGGUAGCUGCUUCUUGGCUUCUCGGUUCCCAUUCCAUCAAACUGGUAGAUUGGACCCAAACAGCCGUGGUCCAUCUGGUAUACCUAACAAUGAAGUUCAAUGGCAAGCUCCAAAAACGGCCAAAUGUCCAGACUGCAUUACUCCUUAUCCACUGUGGCAACCAGCGAGAAUGUGUAGCACCAAAGUAUGAGCUCACAGAUAUGCUACAGGAGACAGAGAAGUUGAAUAUCCCCUGAGAAGACUUCUAAGAUAUUAGAUAUCUGUGACAGAAAAUGAAGAUAUUUAAGAACCAUAAUCUCUCUGCUCCUUUGAAUCCAUUUGAUGUAUAAACACCAUUCUUCACUUCUAUUCUCAAAUUUCCAACUCUCUUAAGCAUGUAUUCAUGCUAUGCGGUAUUUUAAUGUUUGCGAAACUUACUAGGUGGGCUGAGUUGUUGUAACCUGGCACACAUAGUAAGAGACUGAAACUGAAGGAAAUAAAAUUUGCAUUCUA